This 328-nucleotide ribosomal RNA is filed under the name uncultured eukaryote. Its description in RNAcentral is "partial 18S ribosomal RNA". It matches the Rfam family "Eukaryotic small subunit ribosomal RNA", at positions 1470 to 1796 of the family's 1831-position model. The record is from RNAcentral.
CCCUUAGAUGUCCUGGGCCGCACGCGCGUUACACUGAUGCAUUCAACGAGCUUAUAACCUUGGCCGAGAGGCCUGGGCAAUCUUGUUAACGUGCAUCGUGAUAGGGAUAGAUUAUUGAAAUUAUUAAUCUUGAACGAGGAAUUCCUAGUAAACGCAGAUCAUCAAUCUGCAUUGAUUACGUCCCUGCCCUUUGUACACACCGCCCGUCGCACCUACCGAUUGGAUGGUCCGGUGAAGCCUCGGGAUUGUGGUUCUUGCCGCUUUAUUGUGGCGUGACCGCGAGAACUUGUCUAAACCUUAUCAUCUAGAGGAAGGUGANGUCGUAACA